RNAcentral lists this ribosomal RNA (564 nucleotides) under Virgisporangium sp. 331E12. RNAcentral's name for it is "bacterial SSU rRNA". It matches the Rfam family "Bacterial small subunit ribosomal RNA", at positions 93 to 671 of the family's 1533-position model. Lineage: Bacteria; Bacillati; Actinomycetota; Actinomycetes; Micromonosporales; Micromonosporaceae. The record is from RNAcentral.
GAGCGGCGAACGGGUGAGUAACACGUGAGUAACCUGCCUCUGGCUUUGGGAUAACCCUCGGAAACGGGGGCUAAUACCGAAUAUUCAGCGUCUGCGGCAUCGUGGGUGUUGGAAAGUUUUUCGGCUGGAGAUGGGCUCGCGGCCUAUCAGCUUGUUGGUGGGGUAAUGGCCUACCAAGGCUUCGACGGGUAGCCGGCCUGAGAGGGCGACCGGCCACACUGGGACUGAGACACGGCCCAGACUCCUACGGGAGGCAGCAGUGGGGAAUAUUGCACAAUGGGCGGAAGCCUGAUGCAGCGACGCCGCGUGAGGGAUGACGGCCUUCGGGUUGUAAACCUCUUUCGACAGGGACGAAGCGAGAGUGACGGUACCUGGAGAAGAAGCACCGGCCAACUACGUGCCAGCAGCCGCGGUAAGACGUAGGGUGCGAGCGUUGUCCGGAUUUAUUGGGCGUAAAGAGCUCGUAGGCGGCUCGUCGCGUCGACCGUGAAAACCCGCAGCUUAACUGCGGGCUUGCGGUUGAUACGGGCGGGCUAGAGUUCGGUAGGGGAGACUGGAAUUNCU